This 148-nucleotide non-coding RNA is filed under the name Gorilla gorilla gorilla (western lowland gorilla). The record is from Rfam by way of RNAcentral. Lineage: Eukaryota; Metazoa; Chordata; Mammalia; Primates; Hominidae.
GCUGGGCGUGGUGGCGCACACCUGUAAUCCCAGUUACUCAGGAGGCUGAGGCAGGAGAAUCACUUGAACCCGGGAAGCAGAGGUUGCAGUGAGCUGAGAUUGCACCACUGCACUCUAGCCUGGGCAACAGAGUGAGACUCUGUCUCAA